AAUUUUUUAGUAUUCUUUGUACAUUUAGCUUCCAACUAAAAAGACUAUUCUCAUAGAAAAAUUA
RNAcentral lists this transfer RNA (64 nucleotides) under Engaeus quadrimanus. RNAcentral's name for it is "tRNA-Gly". Lineage: Eukaryota; Metazoa; Arthropoda; Malacostraca; Decapoda; Parastacidae. The record is from RNAcentral.